UACGAAGGGGGCUAGCGUUGCUCGGAAUCACUGGGCGUAAAGCGCACGUAGGCGGCUUCUUAAGUCAGGGGUGAAAGCCUGGAGCUCAACUCCAGAACUGCCUUUGAUACUGAGGAGCUUGAGUCCGGGAGAGGUGAGUGGAACUGCGAGUGUAGAGGUGAAAUUGCGAGAGUAUUGUGGAGGAACACCAGUGGCGAAGGCGGCUCACUGGACCGGUACUGACGCUGAUGCGCGAAAGCGUGGGGAGCGAACAGG
This 255-nucleotide ribosomal RNA is filed under the name uncultured bacterium. Its description in RNAcentral is "partial 16S ribosomal RNA". It matches the Rfam family "Bacterial small subunit ribosomal RNA", at positions 524 to 776 of the family's 1533-position model. The record is from RNAcentral.